This 490-nucleotide ribosomal RNA is filed under the name uncultured bacterium. RNAcentral describes it as "partial 16S ribosomal RNA". It matches the Rfam family "Bacterial small subunit ribosomal RNA", at positions 29 to 507 of the family's 1533-position model. The record is from RNAcentral.
AUUGAACGCUGGCGGCAUGCCUUACACAUGCAAGUCGAACGGCAUCGCGGGAAAGCUUGCUUUCCUGGCGGCGAGUGGCGAACGGGUGAGUAACACAUCUGAACGUACCGGCUAGUGGGGGAUAACCCGUCGAAAGACGGGCUAAUACCGCAUACGCUCUUCGGAGGAAAGCAGGGGACCUUUGGGCCUUGCGCUAGCCGAGCGGCCGAUGUCCGAUUAGCUAGUUGGUGGGGUAAAGGCCUACCAAGGCGACGAUCGGUAGCGGGUCUGAGAGGACGAUCCGCCACACUGGGACUGAGACACGGCCCAGACUCCUACGGGAGGCAGCAGUGGGGAAUCUUGGACAAUGGGGGCAACCCUGAUCCAGCAAUGCCGCGUGGGUGAAGAGGGCCUUCGGGUUGUAAAGCCCUUUCGGCAGGGAAGAAAUCGGCGGGGCGAAUAACCCUGCUGGAUGACGGUACCUGCAGAAGAAGCACCGGCUAACUACGUG